AUGGAUCUUAAAUUGACUGAGCGGCGGACGGGUGAGUAACGCGUGGAUAACCUGCCUCACACAGGGGGAUAACAGUUAGAAAUGACUGCUAAUACCGCAUAAGCGCACGGUACCGCAUGGAACAGUGUGAAAAACUCCGGUGGUGUGAGAUGGACCCGCGUCUGAUUAGCCAGUUGGUGAGAUAACAGCCCACCAAGGCGACGAUCAGUAGCCGACCUGAGAGGGUGACCGGCCACAUUGGGACUGAGACACGGCCCAGACUCC
This 264-nucleotide ribosomal RNA is filed under the name uncultured Lachnospiraceae bacterium. Its description in RNAcentral is "partial 16S ribosomal RNA". It matches the Rfam family "Bacterial small subunit ribosomal RNA", at positions 75 to 339 of the family's 1533-position model. The record is from RNAcentral. Lineage: Bacteria; Bacillati; Bacillota; Clostridia; Lachnospirales; Lachnospiraceae.